Long non-coding RNA from Rhineura floridana, 1051 nucleotides. RefSeq lists it as uncharacterized. The record is from RefSeq and is a predicted model, not a curated record. The transcript is spliced from 4 exons. NCBI's taxonomy places the organism in Eukaryota, Metazoa, Chordata, Lepidosauria, Squamata, Rhineuridae.
UUGUUGUGUUAGGUCAAGGGGAGCUUCUAGUAUAUGCUUUUGUCUAAUAGUAGUGUAACAUGUUUGUAGUUUUUAUUUUUAAAAGCAUUUUUGUAGCCAACGUUGAUCCUUGGGAACUCAUAAGGCUGUUCUCCACUCAAUGCUCAGUAUGAACCUGUUGUGAAAGAAGAUUAGGUAGAGGAGGGAGGGGUUAAAUUGAAUCCUCUGGCUGAGCUGUAACCUUUCAGUUGGACCCAAUGCUAGAAUCAACAAUUCCCUGCAUGGUUUGUUUCAUAGAAUCUUGUUCAAAGACCUCUACAGUGAAAAGAAAGCAGAGGCUGGACUGCUGGAAUCUAUUGAGAGGAGUCAGCGCACCCUGAAAUCAUACAUACUGUGCAUGCUCCAAUAGCUUGUUCUAGAAAGGCAAAGAGGAAGGGUAAUUGCCACACCUUAUACUGGUAAAUCCAGGCAACAUACUGGCCCUGGAUUCAAAUGUCCAUGUCUUGACAUCUGCAUGUUCCUUCCAACAGCAGAUCCUUACACUGCAUGACUAUCUCCAAAGCCCGGGAUAGCUUCAGAAAUAACCCAAUGACAAAAAGUGAGACAUUUGAUGCAUGACUAGCCUUUGGAUGUGUCUACUCUGAGGUUGCAGCCAUUGCUUUCUAGGUGAAGUUUUGACCCCUUAUUGUAGUACAUUCCCUCCUUGCUUCUCUGAAUGAAACAAAGUUUAAUGAAUUCAUCCUCUGAAAGCAACUGCUAACACUGUCUUUCCGCAGCACAGUAUGUCAGUGCUAAGGAGAUGUGCACUAUUAAAUAAUUAUGCAAUCAGUUAAAUGAUCGAUUGGUUGCUCUCAUUGCCACCAAAUGAUAUAAUUAUAGUAUAGCAACAAUCAUUCAAAAUAAAUUGAUUGCUUUUCAAGAUUAACUCAAGCGUUGUGUACCUGUAUUAUUAGAACAAACCUUGCUAAUUAUGUUCUGCUAGUGAUAGUAUCUGCUCUGCACUUUUCUGAAUAACCAUGUUAUACUUCAGUAUUUUAUAAUGUACACUACUGUGUCUACAAUGCUAAUAAAA